UACGUAGGUGGCAAGCGUUGUCCGGAAUUAUUGGGCGUAAAGCGCGCGCAGGCGGCUAUGUAAGUCUGGUGUUAAAGCCCGGGGCUCAACCCCGGUACGCAUCGGAAACUGUGUAGCUUGAGUGCAGAAGAGGAAAGCGGUAUUCCACGUGUAGCGGUGAAAUGCGUAGAUAUGUGGAGGAACACCAGUGGCGAAGGCGGCUUUCUGGUCUGUAACUGACGCUGAGGCGCGAAAGCGUGGGGAGCAAACA
Molecule: ribosomal RNA, 250 nt
Filed under: uncultured Brevibacillus sp.
Lineage: Bacteria; Bacillati; Bacillota; Bacilli; Caryophanales; Paenibacillaceae
Description: partial 16S ribosomal RNA
Rfam family: Bacterial small subunit ribosomal RNA
Source: RNAcentral